AAAAAGGCGAUAAUUGAGAAUAGUAAUUUUAAAAAGUUUUUAAGAGAGCAGGUGGCUGGUGAGAACCUGUAAAAUUUUUAAGACGAAUCCACCUCAUAGUCUAUGAAAUUUUAAGUGAACCAUUUGGUUAAUUAGGGUGGCAACGCGGGUCUCUCGUCCCUUUA
RNAcentral lists this non-coding RNA (164 nucleotides) under Peptoniphilus harei. Its description in RNAcentral is "T-box sequence". It matches the Rfam family "T-box leader". Rfam says of the family: Uncharged tRNA acts as the effector for transcription antitermination of genes in the T-box leader family. T-boxes are found upstream of many aminoacyl-tRNA synthetase genes and some amino acid biosynthetic genes usually in Gram-positive bacteria. The record is from RNAcentral. Lineage: Bacteria; Bacillati; Bacillota; Tissierellia; Tissierellales; Peptoniphilaceae.